AGCGGCGGACGGGUGAGUAAUGCCUAGGAAAUUGCCCUGAUGUGGGGGAUAACCAUUGGAAACGAUGGCUAAUACCGCAUAAUGCCUACGGGCCAAAGAGGGGGACCUUCGGGCCUCUCGCGUCAGGAUAUGCCUAGGUGGGAUUAGCUAGUUGGUGAGGUAAUGGCUCACCAAGGCGACGAUCCCUAGCUGGUCUGAGAGGAUGAUCAGCCACACUGGAACUGAGACACGGUCCAGACUCCUACGGGAGGCAGCAGUGGGGAAUAUUGCACAAUGGGCGCAAGCCUGAUGCAGCCAUGCCGCGUGUGUGAAGAAGGCCUUCGGGUUGUAAAGCACUUUCAGUCGUGAGGAAGGUAGUGUAGUUAAUAGCUGCAUUAUUUGACGUUAGCGACAGAAGAAGCACCGGCUAACUCCGUGCCAGCAGCCGCGGUAAUACGGAGGGUGCGAGCGUUAAUCGGAAUUACUGGGCGUAAAGCGCAUGCAGGUGGUUUGUUAAGUCAGAUGUGAAAGCCCGGGGCUCAACCUCGGAAUAGCAUUUGAAACUGGCAGACUAGAGUACUGUAGAGGGGGGUAGAAUUUCAGGUGUAGCGGUGAAAUGCGUAGAGAUCUGAAGGAAUACCGGUGGCGAAGGCGGCCCCCUGGACAGAUACUGACACUCAGAUGCGAAAGCGUGGGGAGCAAACAGGAUUAGAUACCCUGGUAGUCCACGCCGUAAACGAUGUCUACUUGGAGGUUGUGGCCUUGAGCCGUGGCUUUCGGAGCUAACGCGUUAAGUAGACCGCCUGGGGAGUACGGUCGCAAGAUUAAAACUCAAAUGAAUUGACGGGGGCCCGCACAAGCGGUGGAGCAUGUGGUUUAAUUCGAUGCAACGCGAAGAACCUUACCUACUCUUGACAUCCAGAGAACUUUCCAGAGAUGGAUUGGUGCCUUCGGGAACUCUGAGACAGGUGCUGCAUGGCUGUCGUCAGCUCGUGUUGUGAAAUGUUGGGUUAAGUCCCGCAACGAGCGCAACCCUUAUCCUUGUUUGCCAGCGAGUAAUGUCGGGAACUCCAGGGAGACUGCCGGUGAUAAACCGGAGGAAGGUGGGGACGACGUCAAGUCAUCAUGGCCCUUACGAGUAGGGCUACACACGUGCUACAAUGGCGCAUACAGAGGGCAGCAAGCUAGCGAUAGUGAGCGAAUCCCAAAAAGUGCGUCGUAGUCCGGAUUGGAGUCUGCAACUCGACUCCAUGAAGUCGGAAUCGCUAGUAAUCGUGGAUCAGAAUGCCACGGUGAAUACGUUCCCGGGCCUUGUACACACCGCCCGUCACACCAUGGGAGUGGGCUGCAAAAGAAGUAGGUAGUUUAACCUUCGGGAGGACGC
Molecule: ribosomal RNA, 1363 nt
Filed under: Vibrio owensii
Lineage: Bacteria; Pseudomonadati; Pseudomonadota; Gammaproteobacteria; Vibrionales; Vibrionaceae
Description: bacterial SSU rRNA
Rfam family: Bacterial small subunit ribosomal RNA
Source: RNAcentral